GGAGCUGCUCAGAUAGCAUGAUGUCUAAGUAUAAACUGCUUAUACUGUGAAACUGCGAAUGGCUCAUUAAAUCAGUUAUAGUUUAUUUGAUGGUACCUUUAACUCGAUUAACGGUAGAAAUUCUAGAGCUAUAACGGGGGUAAUCCCCACUUCUGGGAAGGACGUAUUUUAUAAAAUAAAAGCCGACCGGGGUCUGCCGGCCCGCGGGGAAUCAUGGAAACUUACCCAAUCGGUAGCCCUUGCCGGCGAAGUUUCAUUCAAAUUUUUGCCCCAUCACUUUUGAUGGUAGGAAAAAGGCUACCAUGGGGUAACGGGGGCGGGGAUUAGGGUUCGAUUCCGGGAGGGGCCUGAAAAAGGUCCCCUCCAGGGGGGGCGGGCCCAAAUACCCACCCGAACGGGGGGGGGAAAAAAAAAAAACCGGGCUUCGGCUGGAAUGGAUGGUCCACCAAUCCUACCAGGACCUUGAGGCAGCUGGGCACCGCCGGUAUCCGCUCAAAGCGAAUUAGUGUGCAGUAAAAGUCGAGUUGAUUCGGGGUCCGCGUCGCUUGGGAGCCUGCUCGCCUCCUUCUGCGACGCUCUGCUAGUCGGACGAUCGGAGUACUGGAUAAGUCAGAGCUACUGACUAGCUGAUCCGUGGCUGCAUCUGCUGAACGUAGUAGGAUCGCACGAUCAUGCAAGUAUGAUCGACAUUCGACUGCAGACUCAUACGCAGGGG
RNAcentral lists this ribosomal RNA (715 nucleotides) under Ourococcus sp. LDC-UK1. Its description in RNAcentral is "partial 18S ribosomal RNA". The stretch from base 21 to 375 matches the Rfam family "Eukaryotic small subunit ribosomal RNA", at positions 55 to 427 of the family's 1831-position model. Lineage: Eukaryota; Viridiplantae; Chlorophyta; Chlorophyceae; Sphaeropleales; Selenastraceae. The record is from RNAcentral.